RNAcentral lists this ribosomal RNA (933 nucleotides) under uncultured bacterium. Its description in RNAcentral is "bacterial SSU rRNA". It matches the Rfam family "Bacterial small subunit ribosomal RNA", at positions 469 to 1397 of the family's 1533-position model. The record is from RNAcentral.
GUGACGGUAAUGGGUAAAGAAGCACCGGCUAACUACGUGCCAGCAGCCGCGGUGAUACGUAGGGUGCGAGCGUUGUCCGGAUUUAUUGGGCGUAAAGGGCUCGUAGGUGGUUGAUCGCGUCGGAAGUGUAAUCUUGGGGCUUAACCCUGAGCGUGCUUUCGAUACGGGUUGACUUGAGGAAGGUAGGGGAGAAUGGAAUUCCUGGUGGAGCGGUGGAAUGCGCAGAUAUCAGGAGGAACACCAGUGGCGAAGGCGGUUCUCUGGGCCUCUCCUGACGCUGAGGAGCGAAAGCGUGGGGAGCGAACAGGCUUAGAUACCCUGGUAGUCCACGCUGUAAACGGUGGGUACUAGGUGUGGGGUCCAUUCCACGGGUUCCGUGCCGUAGCUAACGCUUUAAGUACCCCGCCUGGGGAGUACGGCCGCAAGGCUAAAACUCAAAGGAAUUGACGGGGCCCCGCACAAGCGGCGGAGCAUGCGGAUUAAUUCGAUGCAACGCGUAGAACCUUACCUGGGUUUGACAUGGAUCGGGAGUGCUCAGAGAUGGGUGUGCCUCUUUUGGGGUCGGUUCACAGGUGGUGCAUGGCCGUCGUCAGCUCGUGUCGUGAGAUGUUGGGUUAAGUCCCGCAACGAGCGCAACCCUUGUUCACUGUUGCCAGCACGUUAUGGUGGGGACUCAGUGGAGACCGCCGGGGUCAACUCGGAGGAAGGUGGGGAUGACGUCAAGUCAUCAUGCCCCUUAUGUCCAGGGCUUCACGCAUGCUACAAUGGCUGGUACAGAGAGUGGCGAGCCUGUGAGGGUGAGCGAAUCUCGGAAAGCCGGUCUCAGUUCGGAUUGGGGUCUGCAACUCGACCUCAUGAAGUCGGAGUCGCUAGUAAUCGCAGAUCAGCAACGCUGCGGUGAAUACGUUCCCGGGGCUUGCACACACCGCCCGU